RNAcentral lists this ribosomal RNA (445 nucleotides) under uncultured bacterium. Its description in RNAcentral is "partial 16S ribosomal RNA". It matches the Rfam family "Bacterial small subunit ribosomal RNA", at positions 354 to 796 of the family's 1533-position model. The record is from RNAcentral.
GUAAGGAAUAUUGGUCAAUGGAGGCAACUCUGAACCAGCCAUGCCGCGUGCAGGAAGACGGCCCUCUGGGUUGUAAACUGCUUUUAUCUGGGAAUAAACCUGCUUACGUGUAAGUAGCUGAAUGUACCAGAAGAAUAAGGAUCGGCUAACUCCGUGCCAGCAGCCGCGGUAAUACGGAGGAUCCAAGCGUUAUCCGGAUUUAUUGGGUUUAAAGGGUGCGUAGGCGGCCUGUUAAGUCAGGGGUGAAAGACGGUGGCUCAACCAUCGCAGUGCCCUUGAUACUGAUGGGCUUGAAUGGACUAGAGGUAGGCGGAAUGAGACAAGUAGCGGUGAAAUGCAUAGAUACGUCUCAGAACACCGAUUGCGAAGGCAGCUUACUAUGGUCUUAUUGACGCUGAGGCACGAAAGCGUGGGGAUCGAACAGGAUUAGAAACCCCAGUAGUCC